GCUGUGGUGUCCGAGUGGUUAAGGAGUUUGACUCGAAAUCAAAUGGGCUAUGCCCGCACAGGUUCGAAUCCUGUCCGCAGCG
RNAcentral lists this transfer RNA (82 nucleotides) under Diabrotica virgifera virgifera (western corn rootworm). Its description in RNAcentral is "transfer RNA serine (anticodon CGA)". It matches the Rfam family "tRNA". Rfam says of the family: Transfer RNA (tRNA) molecules are approximately 80 nucleotides in length. Lineage: Eukaryota; Metazoa; Arthropoda; Insecta; Coleoptera; Chrysomelidae. The record is from Rfam by way of RNAcentral. RNAcentral also lists the same sequence under 1 other name.